UAGUCCACGCCGUAAACGAUGAUAACUGGUUGUCGGCGAUACACAGUCGGUGGCUGAGCGAAAGUAUUAAGUUAUCCACCUGGGGAGUACGAUCGCAAGGUUGAAACUCAAAGGAAUUGACGGGGGCCCGCACAAGCGGUGGAGCAUGUGGUUUAAUUCGAUGAUACGCGAGGAACCUUACCUGGGCUCAAACGCAUAACGACGUAUAUGGAAACAUAUAUUUCUUCGGACGUUAUGCGAGGUGCUGCAUGGUUGUCGUCAGCUCGUGCCGUGAGGUGUCGGGUUAAGUCCCAUAACGAGCGCAACCCCUACCUUUAGUUGCCAGCACGUAAUGGUGGGGACUCUAAAGAAACUGCCGGCGCAAGCCGCGAGGAAGGUGGGGAUGACGUCAAAUCAGCACGGCCCUUAUGUCCAGGGCUACACACGUGCUACAAUGGUAGAUACAGAGGGCAGCUACCGGGUGACCGGAUGCGAAUCUCGAAAGUCUAUCUCAGUUCGGAUCGAAGU
This 507-nucleotide ribosomal RNA is filed under the name uncultured bacterium. RNAcentral's name for it is "bacterial SSU rRNA". It matches the Rfam family "Bacterial small subunit ribosomal RNA", at positions 791 to 1304 of the family's 1533-position model. The record is from RNAcentral.